RNAcentral lists this signal recognition particle RNA (269 nucleotides) under Bacillota bacterium. Its description in RNAcentral is "signal recognition particle sRNA large type". It matches the Rfam family "Bacterial large signal recognition particle RNA". From Rfam's summary of the family: The signal recognition particle (SRP) is a universally conserved ribonucleoprotein involved in the co-translational targeting of proteins to membranes. Archaeal SRP consists of a 7S RNA and homologues of the eukaryotic SRP19 and SRP54 proteins. The record is from RNAcentral. Lineage: Bacteria; Bacillati; Bacillota.
CCGUGCUAGAUGGGGAACCAGCGGUGCCCUGUAGCCCGCAAACCGCUAUAACGGGGUCGAAUCCCCGCCCGAGGUGCUCUGCAUGUAGCGCAGGGCUAUCUUUGGAGCGUUGAAGACCAUAGGUCCCGUGCAACGCGCAGCUGUGAACCCUGUCAGGUCCUGACGGAAGCAGCAGUAAGCGGCGCGGCGCGUGUGCCGCGGGGAUGCCUGAUCGGAGCUUUCAAAGAUCAGUUUCCGGCUGUAUACGGGCAUCAGAGGCGGGUGCACGG